This 465-nucleotide ribosomal RNA is filed under the name Vreelandella stevensii. Its description in RNAcentral is "partial 16S ribosomal RNA". It matches the Rfam family "Bacterial small subunit ribosomal RNA", at positions 338 to 795 of the family's 1533-position model. Lineage: Bacteria; Pseudomonadati; Pseudomonadota; Gammaproteobacteria; Oceanospirillales; Halomonadaceae. The record is from RNAcentral.
CCUACGGGUGGCUGCAGUGGGGAAUAUUGGACAAUGGGGGCAACCCUGAUCCAGCCAUGCCGCGUGUGUGAAGAAGGCCCUCGGGUUGUAAAGCACUUUCAGUGAGGAAGAACGCCUGGUGGUUAAUACCCAUCAGGAAAGACAUCACUCACAGAAGAAGCACCGGCUAACUCCGUGCCAGCAGCCGCGGUAAUACGGAGGGUGCGAGCGUUAAUCGGAAUUACUGGGCGUAAAGCGCGCGUAGGUGGCUUGAUAAGCCGGUUGUGAAAGCCCCGGGCUCAACCUGGGAACGGCAUCCGGAACUGUCAAGCUAGAGUGCAGGAGAGGAAGGUAGAAUUCCCGGUGUAGCGGUGAAAUGCGUAGAGAUCGGGAGGAAUACCAGUGGCGAAGGCGGCCUUCUGGACUGACGCUGACACUGAGGUGCGAAAGCGUGGGUAGCAAACAGGAUUAGAUACCAGGGUAGUC